GAGAGAGCGGCGCUCCGCUCCGUGUGGGCGGCCGGAGCGGGCGGCUGUAAGCCGGGGAACAAAGAGGAGCGGAGGGGCCCGGAUCUGCUUGGAGGGGAUGUUGGGGGGUUGCCCGCAGGCUGCGGGGAUCGCUCCAUCCGCGCCCUCCCGCCUCGAGACUCCGAAGGACUUUUCCUGCCGCUCCCCGCAGUUACCUGGAUGGGGCGGGGGAUCUGCCGGCUGCUCUCCCUGGUUGUUCUGUAGUGUUGUGACACUUAAAAAAAAAUCUGGUCAGAAGGCAAUGUUAAGUAUCUGUUAGUGGGCUGCCUGUCAACCCUAAGAGCAAGGCAUGUCCCAAAAAUGUAAUUAUCUCAAAAUUUAGCAUUACAGACCACGGACACACAGAGAAAAUGCUGCGCUUAGUGCAUGUCUGUCUCUGUUUAGAGACCAGAAAGGGCAGCUCCUGUGCUUCAGCAGCCCCAGGGGGAGCAGGGCUGCAGGCUGUCCUCAUCAAGAAAUCUAUCUGGGAUCAAGAAGGUGAAAAUAGUGGAAUCCAGAAGUAGUUGGAGAGUUUUUUUUGCUGGGCACAAAUCAAGGCUGUUCAUCUGCUGCAGCUGCAUUUUUUCCUCAGCCUGUUUGGACUUUUAAAGUGUAUCCUCAGCAUUGAGCAUCCUAGACACAAAGCAGUCAAAUACCGAUGGUACCAACGGUACUUCAAGGCUGGAAAGCUGCUGAGCUGAACAUAGCCCUGCAUUCACACCGUGAUACAUUUUUGGGCCCAGCACAGUGCUGCACCAUUGCAUCCUACUGCAGCUCCAUUCCCAUCCCUGUGGGGUUUGUGGGGCUGCAGGGCUGGGGAGCAGCCGGGAGCUGCUGGAACACAUCGCUCUGUGAGGCCUCCGUGCUCCAGGAUCACUGGCGUGGUUGGCACAAGCAGCUCCAGGAGCUCGUAUCCCAGUAGCUGCAAGGCAGUGGAACAGGUAAUAUCACUGAGUCUCAUCCUACUGCCUUAGAGAAAAAGAUGCCUCCCAUCACUCUGACUGGCUCGUGUUCUGUUUCUGUGUUCUGUCUCUUUGGGGAGCUCUGGAGUUGGGCUCUGCACCAGCUGCCGUGCUCACUGGAGACACUGGGGAGCCUUAGGGGAGUGUGUUAAUGUUGCAGAUCUCUGGGCUUUUAUCCAAAGUGGUGAAGCAAAGAGGUUCAAAUACCUGUCCUGCCUAUUCCCGGCUCCCUCCUGCUGUGCUGUUUGCUCAGGUAACUCGGGGCUUUUCUCAGAGCACUCUUACUCAUCCUUCCAUCACCAUAUGGCCUCUGUUGCAAGGAGCAGGGGCUGUUGAGAGAGCAUGGGGCUCUGAGGGGAUGGGAAAAGCUUCCUUCUGGAUGUUUAUUGGUACAGUGACACACUGAGUCUGGGGGAACAUCCAAGCACGCACAUUUCAGUUACUGAAUACUGUUUGUCAGUGUGAGAGCUUCACCUUCGAUACGGGCCAUCCUGUGCUGAGCAGACUCUGGCAUGGCAGGAGGCUCAGUGAAAGCUGUGAAACACCUGCACCACAAGCUGAAGGUUUGGAUUUGUUAUCGGUGGGAGUAAGGCAUGUAGGAGGCCACCAGGAGAUUUUUAACCAUUGGGAGUAACAUAAAAGGAGAUGCUUUUUCAUUUAGUACUCCUCCAAAUGAAAUAGCAUAUGUAAUACAUUCCAAUAUGUCCUAGUACAGUUCAGUACGUUGGAGUUCAUUGGACCUUGCUGUACUAUGGGAAAUGAGACAGAAAUGAGACAGCUCUGCUCAAGUUCCCCAGCUCAUUUCCUAAGUCUUGAAUUGACAAAAAGCUGUGAUGGUGGGGGAGAUACAAAUCACCCCCCAGACAGCACUCACCACCAGCUAAAAUCCCACUUCUCAUGGUCCCACUGCUUCACCGCCAUCUCUUCUACCAUCGGCAGUGGGGAGGAAAAAGGAGCUUUGGUGGGAUGGUGUAUCCUGCCGUGCAGAGCUCUGUGUGAUGCUGUGCUGGGAGCCCCAGGGCUCAGCAGGAGGAAAUGCUGUACAGAAAUCCUCCUUACUGGGAUAAGGGUCUGUUGUUCUGCAUGACAUUUUGGUUACAAGGUAUUUCUAGAUGUUCACAGUUAAUUUCUUACUUAUUUGAAAGAAAAUAAAAAGGUUGUUGGGUA
Non-coding RNA from Meleagris gallopavo (turkey), 2147 nucleotides. Lineage: Eukaryota; Metazoa; Chordata; Aves; Galliformes; Phasianidae. The record is from RefSeq and is a predicted model, not a curated record.